RNAcentral lists this ribosomal RNA (460 nucleotides) under uncultured bacterium. Its description in RNAcentral is "partial 16S ribosomal RNA". It matches the Rfam family "Bacterial small subunit ribosomal RNA", at positions 338 to 795 of the family's 1533-position model. The record is from RNAcentral.
CCUACGGGAGGCUGCAGUGAGGAAUAUUGGUCAAUGGGAGGAAUCCUGAACCAGCCAUGCCGCGUGCAGGACGACGGCUCUACGAGUUGUAAACUGCUUUUGUACCGGGGUAAAAUGCUCUACGAGUAGGGUUUUGAAAGUACGGUACGAAUAAGGAUCGGCUAAAUCCGUGCCAGCAGCCGCGGUAAUACGGAGGAUCCGAGCGUUAUCCGGAUUCCUUGGGGUUAACGGGUGCGUAGGUUGUUUUAUAAGUUAGCGGUGAAAUACCGAUGCUCAACCUCGGGGCUGCCGCUGAUACUGUAGGACUAGAGAGCGGAUGCAGCAGGCGGAAUGUGUAGUGUAGCGGUGAAAUGCAUAGAUAUUACACAGAACACCGAUUGCGAAGGCAGCUUGCUAGGCCGGAUCUGACACUGAUGCACGAAAGCGUGGGGAGCGAACAGGAUUAGAUACCCCGGUAGUC